This 345-nucleotide long non-coding RNA is filed under the name Setaria viridis. RNAcentral's name for it is "long non-coding RNA (SVIR_LNC000066)". The record is from RNAcentral. Lineage: Eukaryota; Viridiplantae; Streptophyta; Magnoliopsida; Poales; Poaceae.
CGUGAUGGUAUACGAGCGCGCCGGUGCUGGCUCGUCAAAGAGGGAGUGGCUCAAGGUCGCCAUCUGGAUAUUAACAACUCUACUGACGCUCGCCUUCUCCUAUAAGGUUGCGGUCGUCAUGCCCCCGCCGGUAGCAGUUCUGGUAUGGCUGAUGGCCUUCGCGACCAUUGCUGGAGGCUUCGUCGCCUUCUUCAUUUACAAAGAGAAGAAGUGAGGCAACAGUGUGGGGGUGACUCGGGCGGCCACCAAAAUGUUAGGCACAACUUUUACAUUGGAAUGAGUUGUAUGGGUCUGUCCCAGCUACGCACAAGGGAGUAAUACAAAGAGGAAUGUAUAGCAUUAUGG